RNAcentral lists this transfer RNA (69 nucleotides) under Histeridae sp. BMNH 1274743. RNAcentral describes it as "tRNA-Met". The record is from RNAcentral. Lineage: Eukaryota; Metazoa; Arthropoda; Insecta; Coleoptera; Histeridae.
AAAAAGGUAAGCUAAUCAAGCUAUCGGGUUCAUACCUCGCUCAUAAAGGUAUUAAUCCUUUCCUCUUUA